GCUAUACAGCUAGCUUAAUUACAAAUGCACAAAACAACAUUAAAUACCUUAACAAAAUUAUAAUCUAUUAACUAAAUCAUUUUUCCACCCAAGUAUGUGAGACAGAAAAGGUAACAUCAAAGCAAUAGAAAAAGUACCGCAAGGGAACGCUGAAAAAGAAAUGAAACAAAUCAUUAAAGCCAAAUAAAGCAGAGCCACACCCUCGUACCUUUUGCAUCAUGAUUUAGCUAGACAUACCUGAGCAAAACGCAUUUUAGUUCAAAGCCCCGAAACUAUGUGAGCUACCCCGAGACAGCCUAUUAACUAGGGCUUACCCGUCUCUGUGGCAAAAGAGUGGGGAGAUCUCCGGGUAGAGGUGACAGACCUACCGAACCUAGUUAUAGCUGGUUGCCUGGGAAAUGAAUAAAAGUUCAGCUUCGCAAUUCUCUACUCACAUUGACGAAACGAGAAAAUUUACGAAAGUUAGUCAAAGGGGGUACAGCCCCUUUGAAAUAGGACACAGCCUCUCUCAGCAGGUUAAAGAUUAUAUUAAACAAGAAUUACUGCACUGGUGGGCCUAAAAGCAGCCAUCCUAAGAGAAAGCGUUAAAGCUCCGGCAGAUUAUAACUCUAUUAUUUAAAUAUUAUUUUCUAAAACCCCUAAUUAUACCAGGCCACCCCAUGCAAACAUGGGAGAGAUACUGCUAAAAUGAGUAAUAAGAAGGCCAUGGCCUUCUCCCUAAACCUAAGUGUAAACUAGAUCGAACCCACACUAGUAAUUACCGAACCCAAAAACAGAGGGCAAUGUAGACAAAUUAAAAAACAAGAAACAAUUACAAAACCCAAUCGUUACCCCCACACUGGAAGGUUUAUAAGGAAAGACUAAAAGAGUGGGAAGGAACUCGGCAAACACAAGCCUCGCCUGUUUACCAAAAACAUCGCCUCCUGACAAUCAUAACAUAGGAGGUCUUGCCUGCCCAGUGAAUAAUUAAACGGCCGCGGUAUUUUGACCGUGCGAAGGUAGCGCAAUCACUUGUCUUUUAAAUAAAGACCUGUAUGAAUGGUGGAACGAAGGCUUAACUGUCUCCCCCCUCAAGUCAAUGAAAUUGAUCUGCCCGUGCAGAAGCGGACAUAUAACUACAAGACGAGAAGACCCUUUGGAGCUUAAGAUAAGAAUCACCUAUGUUAAAGACAAACUAAAAUAAAUUAAACCAAAUAGUACCUGAUUUUAAUCUUCGGUUGGGGCGACCACGGGAGAAAACAAAGCUCCCACGCGGACUGGGACCUAGUCCUACAACUAAGAAAGACACUUCUAAGUACCAAAACAUUUGACCAUAAUGAUCCAGCAAAAUACUGAUCAGCGAAUCAAGUUACCCAAGGGAUAACAGCGCAAUCCUCUUUAAGAGUCCAUAUCGACAAGAGGGUUUACGACCUCGAUGUUGGAUCAGGACAUCCUAAUGGUGCAGCCGCUAUUAAGGGUUCGUUUGUUCAACGAUUAAAGUCCUACGUGAUCUGAGUUCAGACCGGAGCAAUCCAGGUCAGUUUCUAUCUGUAAUGCCACUCUUCCCAGUACGAAAGGACCGGAAAAGUAAGGCCUCUGUUAAUAACACGCCCUACCUCAACCUAAUGACACCAACUAAAUUAGAUAAAGAGGGGCAAACCCUAUAAAUUAAGACCAGAUU
Molecule: ribosomal RNA, 1660 nt
Filed under: Bunocephalus coracoideus (banjo catfish)
Lineage: Eukaryota; Metazoa; Chordata; Actinopteri; Siluriformes; Aspredinidae
Description: 16S rRNA
Rfam family: Bacterial large subunit ribosomal RNA (bases 79-1570)
Source: RNAcentral